GCCUCGCAAAGUCCUGGGAUUACAGGCGUGAGCUACUGGGCCUGACCUACAAAAUGUUUUAUGCUUUCGGCCUAAAUAGUGUUCCUUGGAGAGAAAAUUACCCUGGGAAUGAAUAAACAAGAGCAAUGCAAAUGUUUCUUUUACAUUAGAUUCUUGCAGCCCUGGAAAUCCUAAAUAAUAAUCAUGGCAAUACUACAUUUAUAAGACUAAAAGAUAGGAACUCAAGAAAAAUUUGGUCAUAGCAGUUGGUGAAAAAGUGAAUUUAAGAGAAGUGACAAAAAGAACUACUUGGGAUUCAGCAUCUAGUCCAGGUUCAUUGCUGGGCAUUAUUAAGAAAAAAAUAUCAAAAUUGGAAUUAAUGGAUAAUAU
Molecule: long non-coding RNA, 369 nt
Filed under: Homo sapiens (human)
Lineage: Eukaryota; Metazoa; Chordata; Mammalia; Primates; Hominidae
Description: HSALNT0357984
Source: RNAcentral